RNAcentral lists this ribosomal RNA (497 nucleotides) under uncultured bacterium. Its description in RNAcentral is "partial 16S ribosomal RNA". It matches the Rfam family "Bacterial small subunit ribosomal RNA", at positions 28 to 507 of the family's 1533-position model. The record is from RNAcentral.
GAUGAACGCUGGCGGCGUGCCUAAUACAUGCAAGUCGAGCGAACAGACGAGGCGCUUGCUCCUCUCACGUUAGCGGCGGACGGGUGAGUAACACGUGUAUAACCUCCCUAUAAUACUGGGAUAACUUCGGGAAACCGGAGCUAAUCCCGGAUAAUCUCUUGAACCGCAUUGUUCAAUAGUGAAAGACGGUGUUGCUGUCACUUAUAGAUGCAUCCGCGCCGUAUGGGCUGGUUGGGAAGGUAACGGCUUUCCAAGGCGACGAUGCGUAGACGACCGGAGAGGGUGAUCGGCCGCACGGGAGCUGAGACAGGGUCAAGACGCCUAAGGGAGGCAGCAGUAGGGAAUCGUCCGCAAUGGGCGAAAGCCUGACGGAGCAACGCCGCGUGAGUGAUGAAGGUCUUCGGAUCGUAAAACUCGGUUAUGAGGGAAGAACAAAUGUGUAAGGAAAUAUGCACGGAUUGACGGUAACUAAUAAGAAAGCAACGGCUAACUACGUG